RNAcentral lists this long non-coding RNA (867 nucleotides) under Equus caballus (horse). Its description in RNAcentral is "lncRNA (ENSECAG00000057334.1)". The record is from RNAcentral. Lineage: Eukaryota; Metazoa; Chordata; Mammalia; Perissodactyla; Equidae.
CCUGAGGCUAUGAUUGGCUGCGUGAACGCCAAUCAGGGCUCGGCUGGGCGCGGGCCGCAGGAACGCAGCCGGACUCGCCAGUUUGAAUGCCCGCUGGGUUAUUCUCAGCGCUCCGCGGGUGAGGCCGGUUCCCCGUAGUCCCCUAGUGGGGUCCCGCGGUGACCCGAGCUGUCCAGCCCUCGGUCACCGCCCCCGAGGUUCCCCGGCUUGCCUGCGCUGUUCCCGCUCCCAGGACUGAGACCCGCUCCUCCUCUUCGCGCCUCCGGGCUCCGCUCCAGGCGCCGUCCUCCCACCCGCGGCGCCGGCGGCCAGGCCCGGGCUCUGCCACCGAGAAUACCCGGACUGAGACCGGAGCGGCUGCGGGGCCGCGACCUGGCUCCCGCCUCUCCGGGCCUCUGCGCCUGCCUUCUUCCACCCUUCCCGCCGCUCCCAGCGCCCCAGCGGCUGCUACGCGGCGAACUGUUCCUCUGCAGGGAGAAAGGAGAUGUCGGGGUGGAGGAGCGACCGACGGGGGGAGAAAGAGGGGGGCGGAAGGGACGUCAUUUGUCCCUAAACAGAAUAACCUGAGACCGCUGGUACCAUGGCUGUGGACGUGUCGGAUCGUGGGAAUCCCUAGCGCUGGUCGCGCUCCUGAGUCCGCUUCCAAACCUCAUUCACGACCCGAAAAGGAUGCAUGCAUAUAUAUGUGUGUGUGUAUGCACACAUAUAUAUGCUUUAGCGGAAUGGAAUAAAUAAUAUCUAUAAAAUAACUGUUAUAUGUAUUAAUAUAUAAAAUAUAUCUAAUUUAUGUAUUUUAGUGGAAUGGAAUCGAAUAGAAAAUACUGGCCUGCAUCACAAUGAGUGUAACUAUAGUUUCUUGAAACGUUU